UACGUAGGUGGCAAGCGUUAUCCGGAUUUACUGGGUGUAAAGGGAGCGUAGACGGCAGCGCAAGUCUGGAGUGAAAUGCCGGGGCUCAACCCCGGAACUGCUUUGGAAACUGUGCAGCUAGAGUGCGGGAGAGGUAAGCGGAAUUCCUAGUGUAGCGGUGAAAUGCGUAGAUAUUAGGAGGAACACCAGUGGCGAAGGCGGCUUACUGGACCGUAACUGACGUUGAGGCUCGAAAGCGUGGGGAGCAAACAGG
This 253-nucleotide ribosomal RNA is filed under the name uncultured bacterium. RNAcentral's name for it is "partial 16S ribosomal RNA". It matches the Rfam family "Bacterial small subunit ribosomal RNA", at positions 524 to 776 of the family's 1533-position model. The record is from RNAcentral.